Molecule: long non-coding RNA, 1179 nt
Organism: Homo sapiens (human)
Lineage: Eukaryota; Metazoa; Chordata; Mammalia; Primates; Hominidae
Exons: 2
Source: RefSeq, a predicted model, not a curated record
CCAGCACAGAGUCUUGCUGCGCAGUCACUCAAGCAAACGGCAGCAAAUGCAAACGCUCCAACGGCCAAAGCAAAUGAGACCCAUGAAGACGCCCCCGCCCCACAUGCUGGCGCCCCCCCAGGCACGGAGGUCUCGGGGUCAUCACUCACCAGCGAAGCCUCCGCACUCCAGAAGAAACAACAGGAGGAACGUGGGUGUUCUUCAAGGACGGCUCAACUAUGAGCGAAACUGUCAUCUUGCAUAGGUGGCCACGUAGGUGGCCAUAACCCCACAUCCCUUCACUGACACAUGGAAUAACACACUCAGAGUGCCCCGUACGGAUCUUUAGACUGAAUCCCUAAGAUUUCACAAGGAAGAAUGAAACACAGCUGAAGGAAUUCUGGCAUUGAAAUGAAUUUGAUGUGGCUGUAUCUAACGCCAUGUUCGCUUGGGAAAAUAUACUGCCUCUACUGCAGUACAAUUAAUAAGAGUUUAAUGAUGAAACACUGGAAAUAUAUCACAGUUUUAUCUCUCUCUGAUCUUCCUCUAGCCCACGCCGUCCAUGUCCAACUUAUUGAAGAGCAUUGAGAUAACUGGCUUUGAAUCAUCAGACAGGUCACUCUGGAGAGCGGCUUAAAGUCUUUGCACCUCUUUCACAAAGAGCUCCUGGCAUCUAGCAGGCAGCAGCCAGUGAUGCUCCUAAAACCCUGCAAUACACAAGACGGUGCCCAUGAAGAGGAAUUAUGCAGCCCGGACGUCAGGAGAGCUGAGGGUGAGAAGCCCUGCUGUGGAGGGGACUCGCACGACAUUUGUCUUCCCCACACCAGGAGAGGGAGGAGUGAGGGCAAGACGGUGUCUGCUUUGCUCGCCUGCAGAGUCGGCCCUCGAGAAAAGUGGCAUAUUGAAAAGGGCCCUGCACUCUGUCGCUGAUCUGUGUGAUGCCAGACUCUGUGGGGCCCAGCUUCCUCAUCCUGAAAUGCAGAAUAGUCAAGCCCACUUCCAGGGUGAGUGGACAGUUCCACGAUGCACGUGGAAUAUGAGAAAUGCACAAAUAUCCACUUCCCCUCUCAAGUGGCGAUGACAUGUGAGCUAAAAGCCCUGCCACAAUUCUAUUCUUCCAGCUCAGCCCUGAGAUGUCCUGUUAGCAAUGAUUUAUUCACCUCAAAUUUCAACAUCCAGUUUCAUUACCAUCAAAUUUAA